This 253-nucleotide ribosomal RNA is filed under the name uncultured bacterium. RNAcentral describes it as "partial 16S ribosomal RNA". It matches the Rfam family "Bacterial small subunit ribosomal RNA", at positions 524 to 776 of the family's 1533-position model. The record is from RNAcentral.
UACGGGGGGGGCAAGCGUUGUUCGGAAUUACUGGGCGUAAAGGGCUCGUAGGCGGCCAACUAAGUCGGAUGUGAAAUCCCCAGGCUCAACUUGGGAACUGCAUCCGAUACUGGAUGGCUUGAAUCCGGGAGAGGGAUGCAGAAUUCCAGGUGUAGCGGUGAAAUGCGCAGAUAUCGGGAGGAACACCAAUGGCGAAGGCAGCUCGCUGGGACGGUACUGACGCUGAGACGCGAAAGCGUGGGGAGCAAACAGG